This 906-nucleotide ribosomal RNA is filed under the name Desulfobotulus alkaliphilus. Its description in RNAcentral is "Bacterial large subunit ribosomal RNA". It matches the Rfam family "Bacterial large subunit ribosomal RNA", at positions 375 to 1268 of the family's 2925-position model. The record is from Rfam by way of RNAcentral. Lineage: Bacteria; Pseudomonadati; Thermodesulfobacteriota; Desulfobacteria; Desulfobacterales; Desulfobacteraceae.
GUAGCAGAAAGUCAUGGAUCUGUCUUAAGAGCGCCCCAAGUACCACGGGACACGAGAAACCCUGUGGGAAUCCAUGAGGACCAUCUCAUAAGGCUAAAUACGUCUUGGCAACCGAUAGUGAACCAGUACCGUGAGGGAAAGGUGAAAAGAACCCCGGUGAGGGGAGUGCAAUAGAACCUGAAACCGUUUGCCUACAAGCAGUGGUAGCACGAUGCAUUUUCGGAUGCCGUGUGACCGCGUGCCUUUUGCAUAAUGAGUCAGCGAGUUACUUUACGCAGCAAGGUUAAGCCGAUAGAGGUGUAGCCGUAGCGAAAGCGAGUCUUAACAGGGCGUCUUAGUUGUGUGGAGUAGACCCGAAACCAGGUGAUCUAUCCAUGUCCAGGGUGAAGCGUGAGUAAAAUCCCGUGGAGGCCCGAACCGUCGUACGUUGAAAAGUGCUCGGAUGAGGUGUGGAUAGGGGUGAAAGGCCAAACAAACCUGGAAAUAGCUGGUUCUCCCCGAAAUAUAUUUAGGUAUAGCCUUGCGUGAUUGACUAGCGGGGGUAGAGCACUGGAUGGGCUAGGGGUCUCACCGGAUUACCAACCCCAACCAAACUCCGAAUACCGUAUAGUUUUAUCGCAGGAGUCAGACUACGGGAGCUAAGUUUCGUGGUCGAGAGGGAAACAACCCAGAUCGCCAGCUAAGGUCCCCAAAUUCAUGCUAAGUGGUGAACGAUGUGGAAAUGCUCAGACAACCAGGAUGUUGGCUUAGAAGCAGCCAUCAUUUAAAGAAAGCGUAAUAGCUCACUGGUCGAGUGGUUCUGCGCGGAAAAUGUAACGGGGCUAAGCAUGGUACCGAAGCUGCGGGUUAUUCUAAAUGGAUAGCGGUAGGGGAGCAUUGCAUGCGGGCAGAAGGUUGACCGUAAGG